This 529-nucleotide small RNA is filed under the name Oryza sativa Japonica Group (Japanese rice). RNAcentral describes it as "sRNA Os08g0551600". The record is from RNAcentral. Lineage: Eukaryota; Viridiplantae; Streptophyta; Magnoliopsida; Poales; Poaceae.
AAUAAAAGACCAAAAAAAAAAAAAACUCACGAGAGGCGCAUCGGCGGCGGCGCCGCCACAGGGCCACCGGCCGCCGUCGCCGGCGAUCUGCAGGGUCAAGCACUCAAGCCCCCGCAGCCUGCUUCCCGCCGGAGACCUCGUGGGGUUGGAUCUGGCAUGCUGCGUGUAUGCAGGGCAGGCCAGCAUGAUCCACCAUUGAAGGAUCGUGCGCUGAUUAUGGGAUUAAACAAGUGCGAGGUCACAUGGCCACUUUGAAAUCAAACAUUUAGGUUCAGAAAUGGACAGCAUUAAGCAGUUGAAAGUUGAUUCCAUCUACUUAUAACUUAUUCUAGUCGAAUCUCUCUCUUUUUUCUCUAUCUUCCUGAGAAGAGAAAUCGUGUUUCACUUGCAACAAUAAUUCACAUCUUCUGUUUUUUUCAUGUUUUUUUUUUGUUACCCAUAGUUUUAUGGACAUCAGCACAUCACAAAAUCACAUCAUCAGAUACCACUGAAAUCAGAAAUCAGAAGCAUGUAUAAAUGAUUGGAGAUG